Molecule: long non-coding RNA, 643 nt
Organism: Drosophila grimshawi
Lineage: Eukaryota; Metazoa; Arthropoda; Insecta; Diptera; Drosophilidae
Exons: 2
Source: RefSeq, a predicted model, not a curated record
AAAAGUUAGAAUUUGGGCUACAAAUCUCGCUGAGCAGCAUCGAAAUGGACCAAAAAUUACAAAAUUCAAAAUCGAGUGUCAGCUUGCAUACGAAAAGGCAAGGAUAAAGUGUUGCUGCUAUCUUUACACACACUCAAGAGUCUGAGCGAUCCAUAACCCUCAAGGACCUAGUAGAAAAAGUCUGUUCAUGCCUGCUCUAGAACACGUCGCAGCGAAAGCUAGCGAAGCAAUGAGCUGCUUUCGCUGAUCGCCACACUAUACUUAAAUAAUGUUCGUCGCCUUCGUGUGAAUGCCCUCAGAACCCGAACGAGAGGAGUACCCGAAGCAUCUGAAUUUUCAAGCAGCCACUUGUCAGUCGAUGUGACGUUUCUAUGUAUUGUCUGCGUGGUGCUUAUUGGCUAACCACACAGAGCAAAAUCUUCUGGGACCCAGGGGAAUUUUUCAAAGAUGUGAAACGAUGUUAAAAUAGUCAAUAUAAUAUCAUAUUUUUGUAUGUAGCAAUUAUAUUUAAACAUUAAUCAACCUAUUGAAAGGAUAUAAAACAUUGACUUGUAAAGGUAUGAAUUAAUAAUAGCACUGAAUUAGAAUCUAUAACAUAAACAUGGAACUGGUUUUAGCAGAUAAUAAAUAACAUUAAAUAUUA